UACGUAGGUGGCAAGCGUUGUCCGGAUUUACUGGGCGUAAAGAGCGCGCAGGCGGUCGAUUUAGUCGCGUGUGAAAGCCCCCGGCUCAACUGGGGAGGGUCACGCGAUACUGAUCGACUCGAAGGCAGGAGAGGGUAGUGGAAUUCCCGGUGUAGUGGUGAAAUGCGUAGAUAUCGGGGGGAACACCAGUGGCGAAGGCGACUACCUGGCCUGUUCUUGACGCUGAGGCGCGAAAGCUAGGGGAGCAAACGGG
RNAcentral lists this ribosomal RNA (253 nucleotides) under uncultured bacterium. Its description in RNAcentral is "partial 16S ribosomal RNA". It matches the Rfam family "Bacterial small subunit ribosomal RNA", at positions 524 to 776 of the family's 1533-position model. The record is from RNAcentral.